CGCUUCAUGGAGUUUUUCCGGACUUUUAAAGGCUGUGGUUUUAUUUAUUUUUAAUUCACCCAUAAACGUCCUGAGUAAUUGAGUUUUAGGAAAAAGGAACAUUAGAAGACUUACGGAAAAUUGUUGAGAAGCGCAACUGUGGGAAUUGGUCCAGCUUCAACAAAUAGGAUUACUGCGUCACUUCCAAAGCAAGCUCCUUCAAUUGCAGCCUGUCCUGUCAUCAUCACAGGGUUAUCCAUUUUGUGCAAACAGCAGCAGAGGCGAAACCCCAAAAGUCAAUCAGUCUGAAAAUUAUAAAUGCAAAUUGAUGAGCCUGGGAAGGCUGGCAGCCCAUUGAUUACUGGGAUACAGAGGGGCAUAAACAAUGGCCCACCUCACUGCACACACACACAUAUUCCGGCAAUCGACGUGGCCAAGACGGAUGGACAGUAUAUAACAAUUAGAAGUUUCCUGCUCAUCCAAGGAAUCGGGGGUCCAAGGAGGUACCAGGUAAUCUGAGGCCAUGUGGACAAACGACAGUGGCAAAGGCAACUUGUCAGCUCGAAUGACGUUUUAAUAAGUCACAUAAUUCAUGGGUCGAGAAUGGGAUGGGUGUAGGUUCGGUUCUGCAUAGCGAUAGGGGGACUGGCGAACACGUUCCCCGAAACUUCGGAUUUCUCGUUUAGCAUGGACUCCAACUCCAACUCGCAUCGCCAAUGUAAUACAGUGGGUCUAUUUGCCUCAAACUUGCCGGG
Molecule: non-coding RNA, 734 nt
Organism: Drosophila suzukii
Lineage: Eukaryota; Metazoa; Arthropoda; Insecta; Diptera; Drosophilidae
Source: RefSeq, a predicted model, not a curated record